Anas platyrhynchos (mallard) is the source of this 5066-nucleotide long non-coding RNA. RefSeq lists it as uncharacterized. The record is from RefSeq and is a predicted model, not a curated record. Lineage: Eukaryota; Metazoa; Chordata; Aves; Anseriformes; Anatidae.
CUGUGGGAGGGAGGGUGCUGGGCUGAAAAGAGGGGCUGGAGGAACUCUGCCUUCCUGGAGCAGUGCUGUGUGGCAGGGACCAUGCCUGCUGCCCAAGGGGGAUCAGUCUCUCUAUCCUGGUGUUACCACCAUGCUUCAAUCCCAGGGAGAUGCUCAGCUGUGGCUGACGUGUGUGACUGAGUAAAGGUCACUCUCUUCCCUGAUCCUACUGCUUGCAACACUUAAAUCAGAGGAGCAAUAACAAGCCUCUGUCUCUUAAGAUAAAAGGGAUAUCAGCUUUCACCAGGCUUUUCUCCAAUUGUCAGAAAUCAGGUCAAGGGGCUGGGUUAAACAAUUGCUGCCUGGCCUUUCCUUCAAGGGAUUUGAGUCCAGCUAUUCAGGCAGAAUGGAGCAUUAAGAGCCACAGCCUCCUCUGGCUUAUCAUCAGAGUGAAGCCAACACUCCAGGCACAGCGCAACUGGGACCACUGUGUUGUUACUUGGAAAUCGGCCAGGUCUGCAGCUGAGACAUUAUCAAAAUGCGCUGCCUGUGAGCAAGUAUCAGCCUGAAUCUACAAAGUUAUAAAGAAAGAUGAAUCUUGAAUCUGAUCACAAAAACCUACAUUUCAUUGGGGCUAAUCAAAAUGACGGGCUGAGACCUCAGCGCCUGGGAUCUGCACUGUGUGGGUAUCUACCACGGGAUGGAUGUACAAUAGACAUGCAGUGAGAUAUGUAUCAGCACAGCUCAUCCCAGUCUGCCAAGCCAAGUUAUUGAUGGGAAUUGCACUACUUGCUGAUUGAAAUCACUUUCUGUGAUUGAAAAUCCAGGAAAGGCUCAAGAGGCCAAAUAGACACCAAGCAGAAGUUUACUCUUGCUGCCUGUUAGCCUUCUAAAACUGAAGCCUGGUCCUAGCUGCUUCCCUAGGAGCUUUCUACCUUCACAGGGGGGAAGGCAUUUCCAGGGAAUGACUGAUUUCACCUAUCUUUGACAGUUGCUUUAAGAUGGAAAUGCUCAUCUGGAUGCAGAGGCAUCUGAGACAACAAGUUUAGACUUGAAUCCCGCUUUCAGAUGCCUAACAUUAGAUGAGAUAAAUUCCUUAUGAGGGUUCUUGAAUUUUAAUUCUUUCUUCAAAUCUAUUGCUGACAGCUCAAAUAUUUCCCUGCAAGCUUUCCUUUCUCUACAGUAUAAGGGAAAAAGUUCACUCUUCUAACUUAGUGGAGACUUGAGCAGGUGAGGAUUUGUACAGUAAAUCCUUAUUUGAAUUUCAAUUAAAUUUCAAGUAAAGUAGCUAAAACCAGGCAGUAAUAAAAUGAUGACAGACACUUUUUCACCAGUGAUGGGGUAUUGCACAUUAUAGAACUUAUUUUUCGCAAGUUCUUAUUUUUUUGUUAUUGUAUUAUUAAGUCUCUGUUCUUAUGGGAUAUGAGGGAUAAAAUUUAAUGGAAAUUCCAUAGCAUUUGCAGUAGCUAAAUCGGAAAAAGAAGUCGCUGUAACUCUGAGGGACAUGCAAACUGCUGGCCUGAUCCUGCCACCCAGUGUGCAUGAUAUUUUCUUGCUUGAAUGAGCCCAUUAAUCUCAGUAGAGCUGCUUACAUGCAGAAGCAUUGCAAGUUCACAUCAGCCUUCAGAACCAUGGUAUGCAUUCGAUGCAUUCAGCUGCCAGUUCUGCAAAGGGGAAUCAGGACUCAUUUACUGAUGGGGAAUGCUUUUUCUUGGUGUUUUUUUUUUUUUUUUUUUUUUUUUCAGUACUGGAUUUCACUAUGUUUACUGUGUUUCUUUUUAUUUAUUUAUUUUUCCCAGAAAUGCAUGUUCUCACACAUUCAUCAGCUAUGAGACUGGAUAUAAAAACAAACCAAGGGAUAAUUCUAAUGGAUAGUGAGAUUUUUAAUUAACAUCUGGAAAGUAUUUUAAACUAUUUCUCAUGACAGAUAUGCAACCUAGAGCAGAGAGUGUAGCAGAAAAAGCUGAAUUUUAUUCCCCUUCUCUAGGUUUAACAAGACAUUUUUGUCUGUUGAAACAAGUGGAUGAGAAAACGAAUCCUCAGGCAAUAGAUUUCCACUCAUCACCAACAGAACACGCUCAUCUACCGUUAGAUGUACAAAGUACCUGUAUUUUGUUUAUUGGCCCCUUGCAGAAACUGGUCAUGCAUGUCUGGAGUAAAUCACUGGUAAAUCAAACAUAACAAACUAAAAAAGCAAUCUAUAGGGUUUCCUAAAAUAAUCUCUGGUGUAUAUGUGCAAAUGUAUAAACUUUGCAGCUCUUGCAGGGGUGUAGCUGAGGACAGAAUGUUACCCUUUGAGUUUGGGUGGUUUUGUGAAACACAUUUUAAAAAGCCCACAAUAUGCCUCCUAGAGUCAUAAGUCAGCGGUUGGGUGACUGGUUUGAAUUAAGACAACGAACAAAGACAAACGAAACAUAAUCCUGCACGUCUGUACAUUCUGGAGGCUUUCCUCUUCAUUUGGUGUCAGUACUGAACCAAAAGUAUUUAGAGAGGCAAUAUUAUUGAACACAACAAAUAGGAAGCAAAGCAUAAUUUUUGUUAGGGGUAAGUCAUCCCUUAGGCAGAAGCAUUCCAUCAGUCUUACUGCAUUUCACUGCACUGAAUUAUGGUUAAUUUGUGGUCGGAAAAAAUAGAGGCACUGUGGUUACUGCAAAUUAUAUACUGUGUUUCCAGUUUAAAGGGAAACAAAAGGCAUGUGUUGUAAAUAUAAACUUUUUUUCUCCAAUUUUAAAAACAAAAAUCCAUUUGGAUGCUUAGUUCAGACUCUAUUCAGCAUCUACAGUAACUAUGCUAUUUCAGUGUUCAUUUAGGAAAUAUUUCUCUAGUGGGAAAAUGAAAAUCAGUACGGUUGAAUAAUUGGCAAGUAUGAGUUAACUGUAUUCUGGUGUCUAGCUCUAUACAAUGGUGACAAUAUUUGCUCCCUGAUGGCAUAACCAGAAAAAGAACAUUUUUGUGUUGAGCAAUGACAAUUAUUAGCCAUUAGAAGAAAAUGCCAACACAAACGUUGGAUUCUCCCAUCAUUUGGGAUCUCUAACUCAGCACUGUAGCUUUUCCCAGAGGAUAUAUGCCAAACAUUAGAGCUUAAGGCAGGAAUUGCUUGUUAAGGAUUGUUUCUUAGGAGGUCAGGCUAAAUGAUCCAAAUGGUGGUUUUACCCUUAAGAUUUUUGGCUUAGGGACUGCCAUUUGGGACACGGUUUUUGUAUUGUCGGGCCUUGACUAUGGGAACCUCCUUAGCAGAGAUAUGCAGUUUUGAUGAUGUCUGCUGUACAUUUUGCUUUCAAAAACUUGCAUUAUUCUGAAAAUAACUGAGCCUUGAAUAUUGCCUACUGCUCAUUUCAGAGAGAAAACCAGUUAGUCAGAAAUGAAAGGUUCCAUUUUAUCACUGAUGCAAUAUUUCUGGAAAAGGAAAGCUCCAUUCUGCAAGGCUGCUUGCCAGCUUAAGUAACAUGCUGAGGACCUCCAAACCCAAAGGUUCAUAUUUCUGGGAAUUAAACCAAGAAGAAAUCUGGGCAGCCUGGUAGAGAGAAAGGCAGAUGUGGACAUAGAUGUGAUGGAAGGUUUUGUACUGCAGGAUUGAGAAGAAUGCUUUAUACAGCAAGCUGCCUCUUCCUUCUUCCAAAAGUGACCUUGAAGCAGAAAUUUUGGACAUCAUAAGCCUUUCCCCCUGCAACAGUGUUGUGCAAUUUUGUGUAGCUUUUUUUUUUUUUUUUUUCCCCCCCCCAGGGCUGUAAUUAAUGUAUUGGUUUAUUUGGGAGAAUGUGCUCAUGUUAUAUUGAUAGGUCUGCAGUUAGGCAUUAAUGGCAGUGAUUACUACUGGUUCAGCCAGGGCUCGAAACAAUGGAAAAAUCUCAUGAUAAGCUCUCAAAACUUGGCUGCAAUUUUGCAAGCACAAGUAGUUUUGGAAACUUUAGAUAAGCUUCCAAAGGUUUAGAUCCAGGUCCAAACAAAACGCAAGCAUUAAAAUUAUGAGGCUUGUGCAUCACUAACACAUACUACCAUAUUUACUUCUAUGAGGAAAUACUAAACAUUUUAUGGAUUUUUCAUGCCCCAGUUGGUUCUCUACACUGGCUGGGAUUGCUGUAGCCUGCCGUUGCAGCUAUAUAGACAUCAAUAAAGAUGAAUAAAGCUGGGCAGUCAGAUUCUAAUUUAUGCUGAUCGUUUGGAUGGCUCAGGGCACUUCAGCACACAUGCUUAGCCAGUGACCUUUCACACUUGCCUUCUAGAUCAAAGCACUUUAUUCGUCCACUUCCAAGAAAAUCACAAAGACAAAAUUCCCAUUCAGCAUGCCUUUAUUAAUCUACAAAGGGCCAAAUCCUGACGCCUUUAAUCUGCUCCUACUCGUCACCGCAAUGAUUUAAAGAGCAGAGCAUUGCCUUCAGAGGGCUGGGCCCAAAAUCAAUAUGGAGAAAGGCCAAACGCUCUGUAGAUAUAAAUGAAGACGGGACUGCCGUGUUCAGACAGGAUCUCACAGUCUCCAUACUCCCUUGCUUCCAAGCCCUUUGUCUGUGAAUCUGAUAAAUCCUCAGCAAAAGUUAAAUUUCCCUUGUGCAUUUUUCGCUUUGCUGUUUUUUGCUGAAUGCUCACUGUCUCCUGGCAGAUGUUUGCUGUGCUGGGUCUUGCUUGCUAUGGGGAACUCACUGGGUGGCCCUCGGGGAGAUGCACCAGGAUAGGCAGGUGCUCCAUGCUUCACAGGAUCUAGUUGCAUAGCACCUAGUCUAUAUUCCUGAUAAUUUCUUCAUAACUAAGUACACUCAGACAAUUUCUACAAGUGUUCAUGCAAAAGGAUCUGUUCUGUAAUCCGUCGGUGCAAUCUGUUCGGGUCUCUUGAGGCUGUAACAGGCGAACUCCCCCAAAACUUGCUUCCAAUUCACAACUGUGUCAAUGAAAGGAGAAUCAGGGCAUCUGAUACACACACAUGAGAAUAAAAAGCAUCCCCAGGGACUGUGGAUUGGUCACAACUUCAAUUUUCCUCCUCCUGAUUAAUUUCCAUACUUCUGAAAAGACAAACUUCUGUUCACUCCUUAUGGUUUAUGUUUGCUUGUGUUUGAUACUAUUUAAAUGUGCUUUAAAAAAUCAAGCAAGCUCAA